RNAcentral lists this long non-coding RNA (416 nucleotides) under Theobroma cacao (cacao). RNAcentral describes it as "long non-coding RNA (TCAC_LNC003855)". The record is from RNAcentral. Lineage: Eukaryota; Viridiplantae; Streptophyta; Magnoliopsida; Malvales; Malvaceae.
GAUGAAGUAUCUCCUGAGGUAAAGAUUUGAGUGCACUUCACGUGAACCACUACGUGAGAGUGAGACUCAGCCAACGCCAAGGCAUGACUAAAAUUUCGGAUGUAAAGACAUUUAACAGCCUUGGCGGACUCGGUUGGGAUAACCCUCGAUCAAGGUAUCCCUGAUAACUGAGUAUGAGAAUGAUUUUUGGCACGAGCCAAGCUUUUCAGGAAAUCAUAAGCCUAUUUGUUUAUUUUGGUGAAAUGAGUUGAAAGGUAAUGAAAUUACAGUAUGAUGACUUAUUUUAAUUCGUCUCCAUUUACUCGCCUUUAGAUAGUUUAGAUGGUGUCUGUUUACUCACUGAGAUUUUAUAAUCUUACCACCCUCAUUUCCUCACAUUUCAGGCUCGGGAAGUUUCAUAGUUAGCUGACUUUGAC